UAAAUCACGUUGCCGCUUACAAUUUUGUCAUAAACAUUUUAAAAACAUUCACGAUGAGGACUUUUUCUCUGCUUGUUGCUUUGGCUUUCUUAUCUACAACUCAAGCCAUUGACUGCCGGUUUAACGUGGGCUGUUUUCCACAGGGGGAAUUUGCGUAAAUUCCGAUGGCAUUCCUUGUUAACAUAGGAUGGUCAACCAAGACUUUACCUAGCGAUUGAAACUGUAAAUAAUAAACUUCAGAAAUCAUCCCUUAAGGUAUACUUCCCGGACUCUCGUGUUAUUUUUAAAUACACCAAUUCCCAACUGGUUCUAGCUCGGCCUUUAUGAAGGCCUCUUUCUUUGGUUUGAAGGGUUAUCGCUUCUCGGCCUUAUGGCUAAGAUCAAAGUGUAGUAUCUGUUCUUAUCAGCUUAACAUCUGAUAGUUCCUCCAUUGGAGGACAACAAAUGUUAAACUGAUUUUUGGAACCAGACGGAGUGCUAGGGGCUUGCUCCACCUCUGUCGCGGGUUGGCCCGGUAUUGCAGUACCGCCGGGAUUUCGGCCUAACUGAUUGAUAAAUUUCAUUAUGUGACAUGCUAACUCGAAGAACGCUUGACGUCGCAGUUUUUGUUGGCGCUGCAAUUUGUGACUUCUAUCUCUUUGGGCAGAGUUAAGCUGCCUUUUUUGGCGGCAGUCUGUCGAAAGUUGUUUUGCAUUUCGUCGAUGUCAAGUGAUUUGGAAAAUUUCUAAAAAGACCUGAAAAAAUAUGAUAAGUAUAGUUUUCGAUGGUUGGCAAAUAAAAUUGCUUUUCCAUAGCCCACGAUUUAAGUAGAAUUUUUAAAGUUGCAUAACUCUAAUCUUCGCGGAUUGCAUUUGUGAUCAAAUUUUAGGGUUUAAAUUUGACACCCUUGUUGUGUAACUCGAGAUAACGAUAUAAUAAAAAGUUCGGUCUUGGUUAAUUUAUUGUGAAAUUGUAUUUAGCAACGCUGUUUUCUUUAUAAAUCACGUUGCCGCUUAUGAUUUUGUCAUAAACAUUUUAAAAACAUUCACGAUGAGGACUUUUUCUCUGAUAGUUGCUUUGGCUUUCAUAUCAACAGCUCAAGCCGGCAUUAACUGCGCUUUUCAAUACUGUGAUGUAAAUUCUAGGGGGGAAUGCGUAUCAAGGGAAGGCUGGCCUUGUUAACAAGUGAUGGUAACCCAGAGUUUGCAUAGUGAUUAAAAAUGCAAAUAAUAAAAUUCAGGUAUCACUCCUAAAAGUAUACUGCCCGGUCUCUCGUGUUUCUUACUUUUAAAUACACCAAUUCUGGUUAACAACUGGUUCUAGCUCGGCCUUUAUGAAGCCCUCUGCCUUGAGUUUGGAAGAAUUAUCGCUUCCCGGCCUUAUGGCUAAGAUCAUAGUCGUUUUUGCUGACGGCGCAAAUUGUGACUUCUAUCUCUAUGGGCAGAGUUUUUCUGCCUUUUUUGGUUGCAGUUGAAUAAGUUGAUUGCUUUGCAACAGAACUUUUGAUGUCUAACUCGGCUUUUUAAAUUGACCAACUUAGCCAAAAAGGUAUGAUAAGUAUAGUCUUCGAUGGUUGACAAAAACAAAAGAUUUUCCACAGCCCACAAUUUAAGUAGAAUUUUAAAUAGUUCUAAACUUCGCACAUUGCAUUUGUGAUAAAUUCUAAGGUUUAAAUUUGACACCCGUGUUGUGUAACUCGAGAUAAGGAAACAAUAAAAAGUUCGGUCUUGGUUAAUUUAUUGUGAAAUUGUAUUUAGCAACGCUGUCUUCUAUAUAGGUCAUGUUUUCGCAAACAAUUUUGUCUUAUACCUUUUAAAAACAUUCACGAUGAGGACUUUUUCUUUGAUAGUUGCUUCGGUUCUGUUAUCAACAACUCAAGCCAGAUGGCCAAUUUUCUGCUAUGAGGAGGGCGCUGAGCGCAAGUUGUAUACUGCACGGACUCUCGUGUUUCUUAUUUUUAAAUACACCAAUUCACAACUGUAAUUCCGGGACGACAGAUUUGUUCAUGAUGGUCGUGUUAUAUGCAAGCUGUAUAUUUUAAUACCUUUAAAAAUUUUGCAUCCGGUAAUUAAGUUAAGGAUAUUCUGACCCAUCUAUCAAUCUGCCCAACACAUUUGAUGGACAAGGACUCCAACCCGCUUGAGGCGCCAUCUAUUUUAUCAAAUUUUACGUUUGCAGUAUCCAUCUGUUGGUGAAAACUGAAUAUAAAGAUGCCUUUUGUCGUACAAA
Molecule: long non-coding RNA, 2208 nt
Organism: Drosophila ficusphila
Lineage: Eukaryota; Metazoa; Arthropoda; Insecta; Diptera; Drosophilidae
Exons: 2
Source: RefSeq, a predicted model, not a curated record